This 497-nucleotide ribosomal RNA is filed under the name uncultured bacterium. Its description in RNAcentral is "partial 16S ribosomal RNA". It matches the Rfam family "Bacterial small subunit ribosomal RNA", at positions 28 to 507 of the family's 1533-position model. The record is from RNAcentral.
GAUGAACGCUGGCGGCGUGCCUAAUACAUGCAAGUCGAGCGAACGGACGAGAAGCUUGCUUCUCUGAUGUUAGCGGCGGACGGGUGAGUAACACGUGGAUAACCUACCUAUAAGACUGGGAUAACUUCGGGAAACCGGAGCUAAUACCGGAUAAUAUUUUGAACCGCAUGGUUCAAAAGUGAAAGACGGUCUUGCUGUCACCUAUAGAUGGAUCCGCGCUGCAUUAGCUAGUUGGUAAGGUAACGGCUUACCAAGGCAACGAUGCAUAGCCGACCUGAGAGGGUGAUCGGCCACACUGGAACUGAGACACGGUCCAGACUCCUACGGGAGGCAGCAGUAGGGAAUCUUCCGCAAUGGGCGAAAGCCUGACGGAGCAACGCCGCGUGAGUGAUGAAGGUCUUCGGAUCGUAAAACUCUGUUAUUAGGGAAGAACAUAUGUGUAAGUAACUGUACACAUCUUGACGGUACCUAAUCAGAAAGCCACGGCUAACUACGUG